UCCAAGGACAUAUUUUAUUGCUGAUACCCA
Molecule: non-coding RNA, 30 nt
Filed under: Rattus norvegicus (Norway rat)
Lineage: Eukaryota; Metazoa; Chordata; Mammalia; Rodentia; Muridae
Source: RNAcentral